This 378-nucleotide unclassified non-coding RNA is filed under the name plant metagenome. Its description in RNAcentral is "partial contains 5.8S ribosomal RNA, internal transcribed spacer 2, and large subunit ribosomal RNA". The stretch from base 1 to 105 matches the Rfam family "5.8S ribosomal RNA", at positions 50 to 154 of the family's 154-position model. The record is from RNAcentral.
GAAAUGCGAUAAGUAAUGUGAAUUGCAGAAUUCAGUGAAUCAUCGAAUCUUUGAACGCACCUUGUGCUCCUUGGUAUUCCUUGGAGCAUGCCUGUUUGAGUAUCAUGAAAUCUUCAAAGUAAAUCUUUUGUUAACUCAAUUGGUUUCUACUUUGGUAUUGGAGGUCUUUGCAGCUUCACACCUGCUCCUCUUUGUUCAUUAGCUGGAUCUCAGUGUUAUGCUUGGUUCCACUCGGCGUGAUAAGUUAUCUAUCGCUGAGGACACUGUAAAAGGUGGCCAAGGUAAAUGCAGAUGAACCGCUUCUAAUAGUCCAUUGACUUGGACAAUACUUUUAUGAUCUGAUCUCAAAUCAGGUAGGACUACCCGCAGAACUUAAGC